UGUCAGGUGUGUGCAGUGCAGUCCC
Molecule: non-coding RNA, 25 nt
Filed under: Mus musculus (house mouse)
Lineage: Eukaryota; Metazoa; Chordata; Mammalia; Rodentia; Muridae
Source: RNAcentral